RNAcentral lists this ribosomal RNA (44 nucleotides) under Fusarium oxysporum. RNAcentral's name for it is "partial large subunit ribosomal RNA". The record is from RNAcentral. Lineage: Eukaryota; Fungi; Ascomycota; Sordariomycetes; Hypocreales; Nectriaceae. RNAcentral also lists the same sequence under 9 other names.
UGUUGACCUCGGAUCAGGUAGGAAUACCCGCUGAACUUAAGCAU